RNAcentral lists this long non-coding RNA (521 nucleotides) under Brassica napus (rape). RNAcentral's name for it is "long non-coding RNA (BNAP_LNC023310)". Lineage: Eukaryota; Viridiplantae; Streptophyta; Magnoliopsida; Brassicales; Brassicaceae. The record is from RNAcentral.
GGCCUGUUUGUUUCUCCAUCUAGAUGGACCAUCUGGAUGAAGAUGAGAGUUUUGUUUGUUUAGGCACUAAAAGUGCAACUCAUUCAGAUGGAUCAUCCGGAUGACUUUUGGAAAUUUAGGCUUAAUUUUAAAGUCCAUUCAGCUGAACCAAUUUGGAUCAUUUGAAUGGAGAUGGUUCAUUCAAAAUGGUAUAAUGUCUAUUAUACCCCUAAUGUAAUUCAUAAAUUACAAACCUAAACAUAAUAUCAUUUUUGUCACAAACGAAAACUAACAAAACUAUAAAAACACUUUUUCUCGUGCUAAAAACUACUUUUUCACGUCAAAACCCCAAAACGCAUUUUCCCGCUAAAAUUGCAAAAAAAUGUUUUCCCGUCAAAAUUGCAAAAACGUGUUUUUCCGCAAAAACCGAAAACAAGUUUUCAUGCCAAAAUCACAAAAAAAAAUGUUUUCACGCAAACACUCCAAAAUACAUUUUUCCGUCAAAACACAAAAAAACACGUUUUCCCGCCAAAGUCGCAAAC